AGUGAACGCUGGCGGUAGGCCUAACACAUGCAAGUCGAACGGCAGCACAGUAAGAGCUUGCUCUUACGGGUGGCGAGUGGCGGACGGGUGAGGAAUACAUCGGAAUCUACUUUUUCGUGGGGGAUAACGUAGGGAAACUUACGCUAAUACCGCAUACGACCUACGGGUGAAAGCAGGGGAUCUUCGGACCUUGCGCGAUUGAAUGAGCCGAUGUCGGAUUAGCUAGUUGGCGGGGUAAAGGCCCACCAAGGCGACGAUCCGUAGCCGGUCUGAGAGGAUGAUCAGCCACACUGAAUCUGAGACACGGUCCAGACUCCUACGGGAGGCAGCAGUGGGGAAUAUUGGACAAUGGGCGCAAGCCUGAUCCAGCCCUACCGCGUGGGUGAAGAAGGCCUUCGGGUUGUAAAGCCCUUUUGUUGGGAAAGAAAAGCAGCAGGUUAAUACCCCGCUGUUCUGACAGUACCCAAAGAAUAAGCACCGGCUAACUUCGUG
This 492-nucleotide ribosomal RNA is filed under the name uncultured bacterium. RNAcentral describes it as "partial 16S ribosomal RNA". It matches the Rfam family "Bacterial small subunit ribosomal RNA", at positions 29 to 507 of the family's 1533-position model. The record is from RNAcentral.